CUUGAGUUGAAUGUUAUUGGCUUUGAGCACAUAAAAGACUUGUAUGGGAAUGAUCCUUCCUUUGCUACUCGUUAUACUAAGUGUUUGGCGCAUACAUAUUGGGAACGAUAUUACAUCAAGGAUGAUUAUCUUAUGAGAGCUAACAAACUUUGCAUUCCCGAGUCUUCUCUUUGUUUGCUCCUUUUGCAAGAGGCUCAUGUAGGCGGACUCAUGGGACACUUUGGACGUGACAAGACAUUCGCCACACUCUCCAAGAACUACUUUUGGCCCAAGAUGUUCUGCGACGUCUCAUGCUUCAACAACCGAUGA
This 309-nucleotide ribosomal RNA is filed under the name Triticum aestivum (bread wheat). RNAcentral describes it as "partial small subunit ribosomal RNA". Lineage: Eukaryota; Viridiplantae; Streptophyta; Magnoliopsida; Poales; Poaceae. The record is from RNAcentral.